UAGGGAAUCUUCGGCAAUGGGGGUAACCCUGACCGAGCAACGCCGCGUGAGUGAAGAAGGUUUUCGGAUCGUAAAGCUCUGUUGUUAAGGAAGUACGAGUGUGAGAAUGGAAAGUUCAUGCUGUGACGGUACUUAACCAGAAAGGGACGGCUAACUACGUGCCAGCAGCCGCGGUAAUACGUAGGUCCCGAGCGUUGUCCGGAUUUAUUGGGCGUAAAGCGAGCGCAGGCGGUUAGAAAAGUCUGAAGUGAAAGGCAGUGGCUCAACCAUUGUAGGCUUUGGAAACUGUUUAACUUGAGUGCAGAAGGGGAGAGUGGAAUUCCAUGUGUAGCGGUGAAAUGCGUAGAUAUAUGGAGGAACACCGGUGGCGAAAGCGGCUCUCUGGUCUGUAACUGACGCUGAGGCUCGAAAGCGUGGGGAGCGAACAGG
Molecule: ribosomal RNA, 429 nt
Filed under: Verrucomicrobiota bacterium
Lineage: Bacteria; Pseudomonadati; Verrucomicrobiota
Description: Verrucomicrobia bacterium partial 16S ribosomal RNA
Rfam family: Bacterial small subunit ribosomal RNA
Source: RNAcentral